UGUAGAACCUGUUCUACAACUUACGUUGCCAUUGUGGUUGAAAAACGACAUGCCAGAACUUGUUGCAAUCCAGUCUCAACAAAGAGCUUGUCUGAUGCUUGCAGGUGUCGAUGGGGUUGCUCAACAAGACGAAUGGACCACUGAAGCCUCCUGACAAAUCUGUGUCCUGUGGCUUUUGGACAAACCAGUUCCUCCAGUGAAGUCAUUUGGAAUAUGAACAAUACCUUUAAGGAUCAACCGAACUCAUAGAACUGCAUGAAAGUCAUCCUGGCUAAUGUGGAGGAAAAGAUGGGUUUUCAUUAUAAAAUGGUGGCCAUUGGUGAUAUUCACACGGUGGUUUUUUUACAGCAUGUGAAGGAAAAAUGCAAAUUGCGUGUUCAGCUGAUGUUAAUCAGUCCCCUUGCUAAAACAUAGGGGUGAAGAUGUGGAGAUAAAAGCCUGAUGAUGUAGAAGUAUGUGUCGUAUUACUGGCCAGCAUAGAGUGUUGGACAUCCACAUUUUCUUCAAAAACAACUUGAAAGCAGAAAAAAAAUUCCCAGGCCAGACUGUCUCUUCGGGUUCAGUAUCAGAGUAAUACUGCUGAGUGGAAUGCAGAGAUUGUGUAUGGGAAUGGAAGAUUUCCGAUGCCCCCCAACCCAGCUCCUGGUGUGGUCGUAGCAGCAGUGCCCAGAUGGAGUCCUGAUGCUCUGUGGCUGCUGAUGGCGGCUGUUGGUGUCUUGAUCCUGCUGGUGGCGCCUUUGGUCCUGAAUGCAGUUCAUUAUUAAUUGUCAAUUGCUAUCAGUUGGCAACUUUUCAAUCACACUUUUCAUCAAUUCGGUCUUUUUGUAUUUCAAUAACUGAAAUUUCUUAGUGUGUCUCCUGCAGUGCUUCAGAUUGCUUAUAUCUAUAGAAUCCUUAAUAUUUUUUUAAAUGUUGAUCCCCUUUUGCAAUAAAAAAUAAAUUAAAAGGGUUAAAAUAUGAUUUAAAGUAAAAGAUUGAGUGAGAUUAAACUGGACUGUCAGUACUCACUCUAAAAAAAGUAGUUCAAUCUGGGAUUUCAUGCUGCAGAAAAUCACUGAUGACUAUCUUUGCUCUGGACAGCAUGUCAAUUAGGAAUCCUAAGGUAAUAAUUACACAUCAUUAGAGCUCACAGAUCAGUGUAGAAAGAGCUAGUAUGAAAUAAAAGAUUGAUUGCUACUGGUAGACAAUCAGUGGCACCAGUCUGUGUGUUGUAUUGUUUGGAUAGAGGAACAAAAAAAAUGGACAGGGUGUAAUUUUUGACCUAUUAGUAUAAAAUAGUUUACAAACUGUAUCAAAGCUACGUGUUAAUGGAUCCAUCCCCACCUACAGUAUUGGCUACAUGCUGUUCAAUGAUUCCAGGCAGUUACUGAAUCUAUUUUGAACAGUAAAAUAAAGCGACAAAACAAACUACAUUUAAAACAUCUAGUAUUUUAAAAAGUGUCUUGAUUCUUGAGUGUGUUUCAUCCACAGUGGAGAACAAAACUAGUGAUGGAUGGUGGUAAAUCAGGUCCAAGAAAAAUUCAGAAAACCAAAGAUUCUUUGCUUUUUUUUGGUUUUGUUUGCAGUGUUUUUCUAUGUUUACCAGUAUAAUUGUCUUUACACAUACAGUAUUGUAUCAUUUCCAGCAAACAAUAAACUGUAAAGCCUGUUGAUUUUGUUUGUACUAAUUUGUUUGUUUGUUCGAUUAACCCUAGGUGGGUGGUACAUGUCAAACAUCCACAUGAAUGUCAGGACUCAAGGUUUCCCAGCAGAACAUUGUAUUAUAACAACAUGAUUGAUGUUGUUCACUUCACCUGUCAGCGGUCAUAAUGUUGUGGCUGAUCAGUGUACAUGAUAUUUACAAGUGGAUGCAAACGUUUGUUAACAACUGUAUAUAAUCACAUGGUUCUCCUUCCUAUUCUCUGCCAUUUUGUUAGAGAUACAUUUGUAUUUUCUCACACAUGGCUCCUUCAGGUGAUGUCUGGAAAAGUUCAGGGCUGCAGUUCAUGUGUGAAAAUGGUUCAGCAGCAAGGAUUAAAGUGAAAAACAGAACUGGCACACGCCCAGAACCCAUAAUGGAAAGGUACCACAUAGUCAAUAUUCUUAGCGUUUACCUUUAUACAAUUGUUGUAAACUAAUGUCAAUGCUCGUUCCAUUUGUUUCACCUUUUCUACUUCUCCUCCUGUUUUUUUCCCACAGAUCUCUGCUGAUCAACAUAUAAUUGUGGGACUUUUUGUAUCAUAGUUGACAUUUUUGCUGUUUUCAGGCCUAAAAUCAACAUGGCCGCCUAUAACCAAACAUCACAUGGUAUUUUACAGAAAGAUUCUUCUAAAUAUUAUAUAUACAAUUGAGUUAAAUUGAAAUUGAAAGUUAGUAGUAAAGAUAUUGUAGUAAACCUGUUGACAUGCCAUAAAUCCACACUUGACUCACACACUACUUUAUAUUAAAUAACUCAGAAAGCCUUGGAGUCUUGUCAGUCUUUUCUUCAGGAGGAAAUGACAUCAUGUGGAGCAGGUCAUGUGAUCUGGAAUUAACACACUUCAGGUGUUUUUGUAAUAGUUGAAAAUGAUUUCUCUGACAUAGACACAAUUGUUAUUUUCCAUAUAAAAUUUGAUAUAUUGCCAAAAAAGAAACAUC
This is a long non-coding RNA of Amphiprion ocellaris (clown anemonefish), 2616 nucleotides long. NCBI's taxonomy places the organism in Eukaryota, Metazoa, Chordata, Actinopteri, Pomacentridae. The record is from Ensembl.